Molecule: ribosomal RNA, 446 nt
Filed under: uncultured bacterium
Lineage: Bacteria
Description: bacterial SSU rRNA
Rfam family: Bacterial small subunit ribosomal RNA
Source: RNAcentral
GAGACGGAGGAUUCGUCAAAGUCUUGAUGGCGACCGGCGCAAGGGUGCGUAACGCGUGAGCAACUUGCCCGUUUCAGGGGGAUAACCGGUGGAAACGCCGACUAAUACCCCAUAGUAUGUUUUUAAGGCAUCUUUUAAACAUUAAAGAAAUUCGGAAACGGAUAGGCUCGCGUGACAUUAGCUAGAUGGCGGGGUAACGGCCCACCAUGGCAACGAUGUCUAGGGGUUCUGAGAGGAAGGUCCCCCACAUUGGAACUGAGACACGGUCCAAACUCCUACGGGAGGCAGCAGUGAGGAAUAUUGGUCAAUGGACGGAAGUCUGAACCAGCCAAGUAGCGUGAAGGAUGACUGCCCUAUGGGUUGUAAACUUCUUUUGUCGUGGAACAAAACCUGCCACGUGUGGCAUUUUGCGUGUACACGUUGAAUAAGCAUCGGCUAACUCCGUG